RNAcentral lists this transfer RNA (73 nucleotides) under Camelus bactrianus (Bactrian camel). It matches the Rfam family "tRNA". From Rfam's summary of the family: Transfer RNA (tRNA) molecules are approximately 80 nucleotides in length. Their secondary structure includes four short double-helical elements and three loops (D, anti-codon, and T loops). Lineage: Eukaryota; Metazoa; Chordata; Mammalia; Artiodactyla; Camelidae. The record is from Rfam by way of RNAcentral. RNAcentral also lists the same sequence under 2 other names.
GUGGAUAUAGCUCAGUGGCAGAGCAGAUGCUUAGCAUGCACGAGGGUCCUGGGUUCAAUCCCCAGCACCUCCA